UUGCAGGAGAGGGUCCAAAAUGCGUGCACGUGGUGUAGUUUGCACUUAGUGGAAAUGCAAAUUGGAUUGGCACAUCCUGGCAGAGCUAAAGUUGCCAAUGGAAAAAAAAAGUCUCAGCAGGGGAGAAUGACUGACAGUGCUCCAUAGAGAGCUGUUUGGAGAUGUAGAAACUGGAGAAAAAAAACCUCUGCAGCAAUAAACAGGAUAAGAGACGUAGCAGAAGGCCCUGUCUCUCCCUUACCUGCUGGGAUGAACGUGAUACAGUGUAACACUCCCACACUCCACCCACAACGGCAACGGCCUCUGCCUCCGGCACGGAACCGGCCCCGACCCGGCCCAAACCAGGCCCUGAGCUUCGUGUAACAAGGUGCACAUUGUUUAGAGGCCAGGUUCCCUACUGUCUACACCCCGAGUAUGCGGCACAGAGACGCGGUUAUAUAAUGUUGCAC
Clupea harengus (Atlantic herring) is the source of this 449-nucleotide long non-coding RNA. Lineage: Eukaryota; Metazoa; Chordata; Actinopteri; Clupeiformes; Clupeidae. The record is from Ensembl.